UACGGAGGGUGCAAGCGUUAAUCGGAAUUACUGGGCGUAAAGCGUGCGUAGUCGGUUAUUUAAGUCGGAUGUGAAAUCCCCGGGCUCAACCUGGGAAUUGCAUUCGAUACUGGAUAGCUAGAGUUCGGCAGAGGGAAGUGGAAUUUCGGGUGUAGCGGUGAAAUGCGUAGAUAUCCGAAGGAACAUCAGUGGCGAAAGCGACUUCCUGGACCAGAACUGACGAUCAGGCACGAAAGCGUGGGGAGCAAACAGG
This 253-nucleotide ribosomal RNA is filed under the name uncultured bacterium. Its description in RNAcentral is "partial 16S ribosomal RNA". It matches the Rfam family "Bacterial small subunit ribosomal RNA", at positions 524 to 776 of the family's 1533-position model. The record is from RNAcentral.